Meriones unguiculatus (Mongolian gerbil) is the source of this 130-nucleotide small nucleolar RNA. NCBI's taxonomy places the organism in Eukaryota, Metazoa, Chordata, Mammalia, Rodentia, Muridae. The record is from Ensembl.
CCUGCCCCUAGAGGCAUUGCAGGUGUGACUUCUGUGUCACAUGCACAUCAGUAAGUGGGAGAGGGGAGAGAGGCUACGUCUGUGCUGAAUGUUCUGACCCAUGAAUUUCUGAAUAAUUAGUACUAACAUU